CCGGCAAAAAUGGAAAAUAAAUCCGGCCAGAUCAACACGGACCUAAGACUCAGACGUCGCAUGUAUCAUUUGGCAAACCUUCCGUAUUAAAAUGACCCUAUUCACCAUAAACUCAUUGUUUCUGCUAGGUUCGGCACAUGGAGAGUUGACGUUUGUUCUUGAAACUACGAAAUCUCGGAAGUGGAUUUCAUUUGCGUGAUAAGUUUCCUCAGUGUCUGCGGCAAUUGAAAACAUACACUUUGUGUCUUGG
Paramuricea clavata is the source of this 250-nucleotide non-coding RNA. NCBI's taxonomy places the organism in Eukaryota, Metazoa, Cnidaria, Anthozoa, Malacalcyonacea, Plexauridae. The record is from the annotation of a GenBank genome assembly.